CGCCAUGGCCUCCUGCUGCUCCCGGCGAACUUCGCCUUUGGGCUCCUGUUAUCCCAGCGAGCUUCCGUAGCAUGCGCGUUCCCAUGGCAACGGGUUGUGUCGCCUAUUUACAAGGAGCAACAACAACAACAGUAGUUGUACUCAACAGACCUGCACGAGUCAAAGUACAAAUGAUUCAUAGAACCUCGCGCCUCCGUCCUGGGCCAGGUUCCCUCCAGCACCACUGGAUGGCUCUAGUCGACAGAGAUCAGAACAGCUUCAUGCACAUCUGGCCGCUCCAGCUGUGACAGAUGUGCUUCCUUCCUGAAAAUCAAAGGCUUUACUUCUCCUCUUUUCCAACCCGCCACUGACGCACUCGCAUCCCUCUGUGGGGAACUGGAGGGUGGAGGUGGGAGGGCCAGCAGCUAAGAUUGAGCAAUUAUUCCAUUUUUGAAGCUUGUGGUUUGUGUUGUUUGGAAAAAAACGAGGAUAGUUCCUGUUUUUUGUUCUGCAUGAGGACAAACCACACUACAUGUUUUACGUUUUAAUAAUGCAAAAGUCUGCUUUUCCUCCUGUUGUUUAACGUGACGUUUCACCGACGCCAACACCACAACGUCGUUUUCACCACGUCAAGUGCAGGUGAAAAGUUCCUCCAUAGAAAAAUAAUGAAAAAUAUCUGCAUGUUUAUAGACUGUGCACUCUCAAAGAGGAACAACAGUUUGAAAGCGUCAGCUCAUUUAGGCAACAGGUUAACGUAUUUACAGGCGCCAUUUCUAAGAUAUAAAAUCAAAGGCAAAGGUGAAAAAGCUCUUGUGAAAAAUAAAAAUUUACAAUUGUUUAAUUUAGCAUUUAAAAUUGUUUCAGCUGAAGGCCCAUUGGUUGUGUAACUGGUGUUACAGCUUCCCCUUCGUAUCAUUGUCAGUAGGUUCGAGUUAAAGACGUGCGUGUCAGCGCUCUGUUCCUUUAACGGCGGAAUGCCAGCGAUGUGCGGCUGUGCCCAGGCAUUCUGAUCAGGAAUGUGUAGGAAUGCGUUGGCAGCCGUCGAUUCCCCUGCAGCUUUCCCAGGUGUUACUGGGAAACAAAAACAAGUGGAUGACGGAGCAGAAGGCCGAGCUGAACAGCAGAGAGGGCGUGAAAUGUCCCAGACGGGAGUGUGAUCAGGAAGCACCUCUCUAGACAUGAGGUCACCCUCUGGAUGCAGACUGGGACACGUCGGCCAGAUUUAUGGCCAUCUCUGCCUUAUCAGCUGUCUCCUACCUCGCCCUCCAACCGCAGAUUGAUGGCUGUAAAAAAGGGCAGGUAGACAUAAUAGUCGCGCCUCUGGAAGCUGCCAGGGAGUGUUUGCUCUGAAGACAAGCUCUGUCUGUGUGAAAUCUGAUGGCUAAAGUCCACACACAGUCUGAAAGGAUGCAGGUGAGAAAUGUGUUCCCAGGUCAAAACGGUGAAGUACAGCAUGUGGUAACACGCAAUGGUUCAGGCUGUUUUUAGCUGCUAUUAUUACAGCACUGAGGCCUUACAUGACCCUGAACACAAGCACACAAGCUAAACCUGAGCCUAAGUUGUUGUUAGUGUUACCAUAAAGCUAUCUAGGCUGUUGUUGUUAGCCUACAGCUAACCAUGCUGUUGUUAGUUAGUCUAAAGCUAACCAGGCUGAUGUUGUUAGCUUAAAGCUAACCACACUGUUGUCAUUAGUGUUAGCCUAAAGCUAACCACGCUGUUGUUGUUAGCCUACAGCUAACUAGGCCCCCGUUUUUAGCCUAAAGUUAACCACGCUGUUGUCAUUAGUGUUAGCCUAAAGCUAACCACGCUGUUGUUGUUAGCCUACAGCUAACCAUGCUCUAAACUUGCUCAGUCUGUAGCAGAUGUUUAUAUUGUUCACAUUCAUUGUUGAUAUAAUGCAGCACAUCUGUAAGCUACAGCAGUGCUUUCUGGCUGUUUCCACGGCGACUGAUGCCAACCUCCUUCUCAGAGCAUCAGGACAAACGACCGGUGCUUCAGGGUUUUCAGGUCGGGUGAGGACACGUUGCUCAGAACGUCGUCGAUGAACGUACGUUCAGUCAAUGAGUUCAGCUGGUGACUCAGCGGUUGUUGUGUCUGUUCCACCUAAAGGCAGCAAAGUUUUGCUCACGUUGUGUAAGGGGCUCUAAAUGACACUUAUACUUAUUGAUUUGCGUCUCAAGCUGCGUCACAACAUUCUGCUGUUUGCUUUUUUAUGGUUCUCUGGUAAAAUGAACAGAGAGAGAACGUUGUUCUGCUUAAGUAAAUAGUGCGGCGCUGGAGGACGCUGAGCAGGGACACCUGUAAACCAGGUGUGCUCUCUGCAGCACAAGGCUGAGUCACAGAGAUGUGCCUGUUCUCAGUCCCGCUGUGGGUCCAAAGGAUUCAGGCUCAUCCCCUCGGGCGGAUCGGGUGCAGCUCUGCAACGUGAGGCUCGGCUCGGCUCGGCUCGGCUCGGCUCGUUGCCUCACGGCCAAAGUUCAGCCUGUGCAGCAGGGCAGCAGAGAAGCCGGAAGUGACUGUAAGUCAGGCCGACAGUGAUGGUGGCUUUGUUCCGUGGCUUUUUGUUGUUUUGACACAGAUUUGACACAACACCGUGUCUAAAGAUAGAAAUACUGAGUGUUUCUGGAGCAACUGCAGAGACCAGAGCCUCCUCACACGGUUCUGGAACAGGGAUCCGUGUGGACCCAGCGGAACCAGGCUGCUGCUGCCCAUGCUGAGGCCGUACAGGGAGGAUCCAGAAACACAAACAGGGUGGAGGAGGUCCGCCUGGUCGGUGAGGCGCACACUCUGCUAUUGUUGGGUGUAUGAGGUGUGUUUGCUAUUUUGUGAACAUGUGCUGGGAGGAGCCGGCUUAACUACGGGUCCUCCAACCUGUUAUUAGUCCUGCACGGUAAUUACUGCAUUCAUGACCACUAAAUAAUAUGUAUUCAAACUCCUUUUAGGCACCUUUCAAUAGGUGAUGUUUGCAGAUAUUAUAAGGUACUUGAACGUGAUGACAGCUUUAUUAUCUGCUCGUGUUAUUCCAGUAGAAUAAACAAACUAACAGUGGAACAGCCUGGUCUCCGUAGGGAGGAAUGCCGCGCAAGUUAAAACAAAGCUGCUAUUGCUGUGAAUCACAUCAUCUAUUAAUGGGGCGUUUGGAUUUUUAUUGGACGGACGCUGGUUUCGCCUCUGGUUCAGCUCUUACGGAGUGGGAGCAGCCGUGGGUCAGGAGGCGGAGAGGUCCAUGCUGGAACCCGUCCUGGAGCUGGACCACGGUUCUCUGCAGCUCAGAGCCUUAGAACGCAGGGAAGUGGCAGCGCUGGCUGUUUGCUGGGUGUGAGUUGAGACUCCAGCCGAGUGGCAGCAACGACAACCACACCUUCGCCCUUGCACAACUUCCCUGUUCCUUUGGUCCACACACUCUGGGCAAACACACCCAAAGGCUUAAGUGAUGCCCUGCACUAAUGGCCUAAAUUACACAGCUGGCUUUGAGGGCAGAGCGGCUCGUCAACAAGUGAAGCCGUGGCCCUUCACCCACAGUGACACUCAGCUGACUCAGCAGCACACUGUUUACUGGGCCUGUCCACCGCAUCCACACGCCUGCGUCGGCCGCCUCGUCCUCCCCCGCUGUCCCUCCUCAUCCACAUCAGCGGCCGGCCUCCAGGCCGAUCAUCGUCGAGGUCCGACCCGAGCACGAGCCACACGCACAGGCUGCUUCUCUGUGGGAACACACUGAUUAGAGUCAGGAGGACCCGCGUCAACGUGAAGCAGCUUCCACGUUCAGCUCGUUCCAUCGUGUUUGUCCAAGCAGUGGUUUCACCACUUUCAGGUUGAUUCUGUUUCAGUUUAAUUCACUUUCAGUUUUAGUCAUUUUUCUUUAGAACCAGUUUGGCUUGAAAAAGAAUUAGGGUGAAUCUUAGCGUGUGUAAAUCAGGGUCAACCCAUUCACUGGAUGGUCAGUAGGGAAGCAGAAGGUCCCAGGUUCAAGUCUGUGUCCUUGAGCAAGACACUUCACAGUAGCUGCUGCUCCCCCAGGGGAUGAACUGAAUGCAGAGGUCAAUUGCCCCCCGCAUGUUUAGCUUGGAUUGGAUCCAGAUUGCUUCUGUCCACUUCUCAUAUAGUGAGCGGUGAUGUUUUCUCCUGAGACUGAGGGGUACCUAAUAAAGUGACCAGCAGCCUUUGGCAGCGUCAGCACCGACUCGCUGAGGCUGAUGCCUCCAGACAGACGGCGUAAAGGUGCUGACCACACACGUUGUCUCUUUUCCUGAGCAUCCGUCAUCCAGUGCACUGGCGCUGAACCUGUCACGGCUCUGAUCUGUGUUUAGUGGGUGAGGAGCGGGUCGGACCCGGAGCACAUCCAGGCCUGUUUGAAGUGACUGUCAGUAGCUGAAGGUACGUCGCGGUUACACAAAGCACAAACCCAGCACCUGCGCUUCAGAGGGAUAAUUACAGGGGACGGUUGAUGUGGGAUUAGAGCCCUGCUGCAGCGAUAACUGUCACGACCUUUCACCUCAUGCUCCGCAUAAUUAGAUUGAUCGGCCGGAGCAUCCAAAGGCCUACAGCGUCCUGUGUCCUCCUCCAGUCAGAUUGACUGGCGGGGACUUUGGAGGUUCUCUGUCUCUGACUUGAAGCUGCUGGGCCUGAUGCAGAAUGCUUUGGAACCUCCCAGCGAGGUUUGUGUAUUUCCUGCUCGUGGUAUCAAACAAUCAGAUUUAUGCAGUGGUUAAAAGGAAAAUAAAAGGUUUCACAAGCUAGAGAGGUUUCAACAGAGGUUCCUGGAAAAAAACAAGACGAUGACAGAUGGUAAUAGAUGAUGACGCUGGUGAACUGGCUCAACUUGUUAGAGGAUGAAACUUCACACACUUUUCCAGGUAUUUUACUCUGGUACGGCCUGAUUGUGAAACCCGCUCUGUUGCGUGUGUUAGUCCAGAACAGUGAUUCCUGCUGCAGCUUCCAGGCUCCACAACAGGCCGCUCAUCAAUCCCUCAGCGGACAAUGGAGCCCUGUAGGAAAGCCAAAACAAGCCUCUAAUCCCCUUUAGAUUAACAGGGAAUUCACUUGGCAGCGGCUAAGUCAGCUGCUAGAGCAGCGUCCGUCACCCACCGCUAACAAACGUUCAAACGGCGGCUGCUGUAAUUAGAGCAGGAUGAAACGAUCCCACAGACAAACAUUAACCCCGGCCGUGACCCCACAGCUUGUCAAGAAGACGAACGCCUGGGACCGGGAGAGAAAAACAGCCUUUCAUUUCCAGUAAAGCAGGAAGGGGGAGGGAAGGGGAUUUUGGGAAGUUUGGUGAGUCAUCACUUUCUUUUCUAGCGGCGCUCCCCCUCCUGGCAUCGCAGCUCCGGGCCUGAAUACCACCCGGCUCAGGGCCCGGUGUGCUUUCAAUGGGCCGGCUGACUGUGAGGGCAUCAUACUGACUGUGAGGGCCUCAGGCUGACUGUGAGGGCAUCAUACUGACUGUGAGGGCCUCAGGCUGACUGUGAGGGCCUCAUACUGACUGUGAGGGCCUCAGGCUGACUGUGAGGGCCUCAUACUGACUGUGAGGGCAUCAUAGUGACUGUGAGGGCCUCAUACUGACUGUGAGGGCCUCAUACUGACUGUGAGGGCCUCAUACUGACUGUGAGGGCCUCAUACUGACUGUGAGGGCCUCAGGCUGACUGUGAGGGCCUCAUACUGACUGUGAGGGCCUCAGGCUGACUGUGAGGGCCUCAGGCUGACUGUGAGGGCCUCAUACUGACUGUGAGGGCCUCAGGCUGACUGUGAGGGCAUCAUAGUGACUGUGAGGGCCUCAUACUGACUGUGAGGGCCUCAUACUGACUGUGAGGGCCUCAUACUGACUGUGAGGGCCUCAGGCUGACUGUGAGGGCCUCAUACUGACUGUGAGGGCCUCAUACUGACUGUGAGGGCCUCAUACUGACUGUGAGGGCCUCAGGCUGACUGUGAGGGCCUCAUACUGACUGUGAGGGCCUCAGGCUGACUGUGAGGGCAUCAUAGUGACUGUGAGGGCCUCAUACUGACUGUGAGGGCCUCAUACUGAC
Molecule: long non-coding RNA, 6002 nt
Organism: Betta splendens (Siamese fighting fish)
Lineage: Eukaryota; Metazoa; Chordata; Actinopteri; Anabantiformes; Osphronemidae
Exons: 3
Source: RefSeq, a predicted model, not a curated record